CCUACGGGAGGCAGCAGUGAGGAAUAUUGGUCAAUGGCCGGAAGGCUGAACCAGCCAAGCCGCGUGAAGGACGAAGGUGCCAAGCAUUGUAAACUUCUUUUGUCAAGGGACAAAAUCAGGCUCGAGAGCCUGACCGAGGGUACUUUAAGAAAAAGCAUCGGCUAACUCCGUGCCAGCAGCCGCGGUAAUACGGAGGAUGCGAGCGUUAUCCGGAUUUAUUGGGUUUAAAGGGUGCGUAGGCGGGCUGUUAAGUCAGCGGGAAAAGCCCGGGGCUCAACCCCGGCGAGCCGUUGAAACUGGGUGUCUUGAGAUGUCGAGAGGUAUGCGGAAUGCGCAGUGUAGCGGUGAAAUGCUUAGAUAGUGCGCAGAACUCCGAUUGCGAAGGCAGCAUACCGGCGGCGAUCUGACGCUGAGGCACGAAAGCGUGGGUAUCGAACAGGAUUAGAUACCCGGGUAGUC
This 459-nucleotide ribosomal RNA is filed under the name uncultured bacterium. Its description in RNAcentral is "partial 16S ribosomal RNA". It matches the Rfam family "Bacterial small subunit ribosomal RNA", at positions 338 to 795 of the family's 1533-position model. The record is from RNAcentral.